AGCGAACGCUGGCGGCAGGCCUAACACAUGCAAGUCGAACGAACCUUUCGGGGUUAGUGGCGGACGGGUGAGUAACACGUGGGAACGUGCCUUAGGUUCGGAAUAACUCAGGGAAACUUGUGCUAAUACCGAAUGUGCCCUUCGGGGGAAAGAUUUAUCGCCUUUAGAGCGGCCCGCGUCUGAUUAGCUAGUUGGUUGAGGUAAUGGCUCACCAAGGCGACGAUCAGUAGCUGGUCUGAGAGGAUGAUCAGCCACAUUGGGACUGAGACACGGCCCAAACUCCUACGGGAGGCAGCAGUGGGGAAUCUUGCGCAAUGGGCGAAAGCCUGACGCAGCCAUGCCGCGUGAAUGAUGAAGGUCUUAGGAUUGUAAAAUUCUUUCACCGGGGACGAUAAUGACGGUACCCGGAGAAGAAGCCCCGGCUAACUUCGUG
This 433-nucleotide ribosomal RNA is filed under the name uncultured bacterium. RNAcentral's name for it is "partial 16S ribosomal RNA". It matches the Rfam family "Bacterial small subunit ribosomal RNA", at positions 29 to 507 of the family's 1533-position model. The record is from RNAcentral.